UAGGGAAUCUUCCGCAAUGGACGAAAGUCUGACGGAGCAACGCCGCGUGAGUGAUGAAGGUUUUCGGAUCGUAAAACUCUGUUGUUAGGGAAGAAUAAGUACGAGAGUAACUGCUCGUACCUUGACGGUACCUAACCAGAAAGCCACGGCUAACUACGUGCCAGCAGCCGCGGUAAUACGUAGGUGGCAAGCGUUGUCCGGAAUUAUUGGGCGUAAAGCGCGCGCAGGCGGUCCUUUAAGUCUGAUGUGAAAGCCCACGGCUCAACCGUGGAGGGUCAUUGGAAACUGGGGGACUUGAGUGCAGGAGAGAAGAGUGGAAUUCCACGUGUAGCGGUGAAAUGCGUAGAGAUGUGGAGGAACACCAGUGGCGAAGGCGACUCUUUGGCCUGUAACUGACGCUGAGGCGCGAAAGCGUGGGGAGCAAACAGGAUUAGAUACCCUGGUAGUCCACGCCGUAAACGAUGAGUGCUAAGUGUUAGAGGGUUUCCGCCCUUUAGUGCUGCAGUAAACGCAUUAAGCACUCCGCCUGGGGAGUACGGCCGCAAGGCUG
RNAcentral lists this ribosomal RNA (550 nucleotides) under uncultured bacterium. RNAcentral's name for it is "bacterial SSU rRNA". It matches the Rfam family "Bacterial small subunit ribosomal RNA", at positions 355 to 896 of the family's 1533-position model. The record is from RNAcentral.